GACGAACGCUGGCGGCGUGCCUAAUACAUGCAAGUUGAGCGAUGAAGAUUGGUGCUUGCACCAAUUUGAAGAGCAGCGAACGGGUGAGUAACGCGUGGGGAAUCUGCCUUUGAGCGGGGGACAACAUUUGGAAACGAAUGCUAAUACCGCAUAACAACUUUAAACAUAAGUUUUAAGUUUGAAAGAUGCAAUUGCAUCACUCAAAGAUGAUCCCGCGUUGUAUUAGCUAGUUGGUGAGGUAAAGGCUCACCAAGGCGAUGAUACAUAGCCGACCUGAGAGGGUGAUCGGCCACAUUGGGACUGGGACACGGCCCAAACUCCUACGGGAGGCAGCAGUAGGGAAUCUUCGGCAAUGGACGAAAGUCUGACCGAGCAACGCCGCGUGAGUGAAGAAGGUUCUCGGAUCGUAAAACUCGGUUGGUAGAGAAGAACGUUGGUGAGAGUGGAAAGCUCAUCAAGUGACGGUAACUACCCAGAAAGGGACGGCUAACUACGUG
RNAcentral lists this ribosomal RNA (497 nucleotides) under uncultured bacterium. Its description in RNAcentral is "partial 16S ribosomal RNA". It matches the Rfam family "Bacterial small subunit ribosomal RNA", at positions 28 to 507 of the family's 1533-position model. The record is from RNAcentral.